GGAGGGGUGGCAGAGCGGUUGAUCGCGGCGGUCUUGAAAACCGUUGAAGGUGUGAGCCUUCCGGGGGUUCAAAUCCCUCCCCCUCCGCCA
This 90-nucleotide transfer RNA is filed under the name Desulfovibrio desulfuricans. RNAcentral's name for it is "tRNA_Ser_TGA". It matches the Rfam family "tRNA". Rfam says of the family: Transfer RNA (tRNA) molecules are approximately 80 nucleotides in length. Their secondary structure includes four short double-helical elements and three loops (D, anti-codon, and T loops). The record is from RNAcentral. Lineage: Bacteria; Pseudomonadati; Thermodesulfobacteriota; Desulfovibrionia; Desulfovibrionales; Desulfovibrionaceae. RNAcentral also lists the same sequence under 18 other names.